Molecule: ribosomal RNA, 1363 nt
Filed under: uncultured bacterium
Lineage: Bacteria
Description: bacterial SSU rRNA
Rfam family: Bacterial small subunit ribosomal RNA
Source: RNAcentral
AUUGAACGCUGGCGGCAGGCCUAACACAUGCAAGUCGAACGGUAACAGGAAGAAGCUUGCUUCUUUGCUGACGAGUGGCGGACGGGUGAGUAAUGUCUGGGAAACUGCCUGAUGGAGGGGGAUAACUACUGGAAACGGUAGCUAAUACCGCAUAACGUCGCAAGACCAAAGAGGGGGACCUUCGGGCCUCUUGCCAUCGGAUGUGCCCAGAUGGGAUUAGCUAGUAGGUGGGGUAACGGCUCACCUAGGCGACGAUCCCUAGCUGGUCUGAGAGGAUGACCAGCCACACUGGAACUGAGACACGGUCCAGACUCCUACGGGAGGCAGCAGUGGGGAAUAUUGCACAAUGGGCGCAAGCCUGAUGCAGCCAUGCCGCGUGUAUGAAGAAGGCCUUCGGGUUGUAAAGUACUUUCAGCGGGGAGGAAGGGAGUAAAGUUAAUACCUUUGCUCAUUGACGUUACCCGCAGAAGAAGCACCGGCUAACUCCGUGCCAGCAGCCGCGGUAAUACAGAGGGUGCAAGCGUUAAUCGGAAUUACUGGGCGUAAAGCGCACGCAGGCGGUUUGUUAAGUCAGAUGUGAAAUCCCCGGGCUCAACCUGGGAACUGCAUCUGAUACUGGCAAGCUUGAGUCUCGUAGAGGGGGGUAGAAUUCCAGGUGUAGCGGUGAAAUGCGUAGAGAUCUGGAGGAAUACCGGUGGCGAAGGCGGCCCCCUGGACGAAGACUGACGCUCAGGUGCGAAAGCGUGGGGAGCAAACAGGAUUAGAUACCCUGGUAGUCCACGCCGUAAACGAUGUCGACUUGGAGGUUGUGCCCUUGAGGCGUGGCUUCCGGAGCUAACGCGUUAAGUCGACCGCCUGGGGAGUACGGCCGCAAGGUUAAAACUCAAAUGAAUUGGCGGGGGCCCGCACAAGCGGUGGAGCAUGUGGUUUAAUUCGAUGCAACGCGAAGAACCUUACCUGGUCUUGACAUCCACGGAAGUUUUCAGAGAUGAGAAUGUGCCUUCGGGAACCGUGAGACAGGUGCUGCAUGGCUGUCGUCAGCUCGUGUUGUGAAAUGUUGGGUUAAGUCCCGCAACGAGCGCAACCCUUAUCCUUUGUUGCCAGCGGUCCGGCCGGGAACUCAAAGGAGACUGUUAGUGAUAAACUGGAGGAAGGUGGGGAUGACGUCAAGUCAUCAUGGCCCUUACGACCAGGGCUACACACGCGCUACAAUGGCGCAUACAAAGAGAAGCGACCUCGCGAGAGCAAGCGGACCUCAUAAAGUGCGUCGUAGUCCGGAUUGGAGUCUGCAACUCGACUCCAUGAAGUCGGAAUCGCUAGUAAUCGUGGAUCAGAAUGCCACGGUGAAUACGUUCCCGGGCCU